Molecule: ribosomal RNA, 1382 nt
Filed under: uncultured bacterium
Lineage: Bacteria
Description: bacterial SSU rRNA
Rfam family: Bacterial small subunit ribosomal RNA
Source: RNAcentral
CCUGGCUCACGAUGAACGCUAGCUACAGGCUUAACACAUGCAAGUCGAGGCGCUGCAUGGUCUUAGCUUGCUAAGGCCGAUGGCGACCGGCGCACGGGUGAGUAACACGUAUCCAACCUGCCGUCUACUCUUGGACAGCCUUCUGAAAGGAAGAUUAAUACAAGAUGGCAUCAUGAGUCCGCAUGUUCACAUGAUUAAAGGUAUUCCGGUAGACGAUGGGGAUGCGUUCCAUUAGAUAGUAGGCGGGGUAACGGCCCACCUAGUCUUCGAUGGAUAGGGGUUCUGAGAGGAAGGUCCCCCACAUUGGAACUGAGACACGGUCCAAACUCCUACGGGAGGCAGCAGUGAGGAAUAUUGGUCAAUGGGCGAGAGCCUGAACCAGCCAAGUAGCGUGAAGGAUGACUGCCCUAUGGGUUGUAAACUUCUUUUAUAAAGGAAUAAAGUCGGGUAUGGAUACCCGUUUGCAUGUACUUUAUGAAUAAGGAUCGGCUAACUCCGUGCCAGCAGCCGCGGUAAUACGGAGGAUCCGAGCGUUAUCCGGAUUUAUUGGGUUUAAAGGGAGCGUAGAUGGAUGUUUAAGUCAGUUGUGAAAGUUUGCGGCUCAACCGUAAAAUUGCAGUUGAUACUGGAUAUCUUGAGUGCAGUUGAGGCAGGCGGAAUUCGUGGUGUAGCGGUGAAAUGCUUAGAUAUCACGAAGAACUCCGAUUGCGAAGGCAGCCUGCUAAGCUGCAACUGACAUUGAGGCUCGAAAGUGUGGGUAUCAAACAGGAUUAGAUACCCUGGUAGUCCACACGGUAAACGAUGAAUACUCGCUGUUUGCGAUAUACUGCAAGCGGCCAAGCGAAAGCGUUAAGUAUUCCACCUGGGGAGUACGCCGGCAACGGUGAAACUCAAAGGAAUUGACGGGGGCCCGCACAAGCGGAGGAACAUGUGGUUUAAUUCGAUGAUACGCGAGGAACCUUACCCGGGCUUAAAUUGCAGAUGAAUUACGGUGAAAGCCGUAAGCCGCAAGGCAUCUGUGAAGGUGCUGCAUGGUUGUCGUCAGCUCGUGCCGUGAGGUGUCGGCUUAAGUGCCAUAACGAGCGCAACCCUUGUUGUCAGUUACUAACAGGUUCCGCUGAGGACUCUGACAAGACUGCCAUCGUAAGAUGUGAGGAAGGUGGGGAUGACGUCAAAUCAGCACGGCCCUUACGUCCGGGGCUACACACGUGUUACAAUGGGGGGUACAGAGGGCCGCUACCACGCGAGUGGAUGCCAAUCCCCAAAACCUCUCUCAGUUCGGACUGGAGUCUGCAACCCGACUCCACGAAGCUGGAUUCGCUAGUAAUCGCGCAUCAGCCACGGCGCGGUGAAUACGUUCCCGGGCCUUGUACACACCGCCC